This 65-nucleotide transfer RNA is filed under the name bovine gut metagenome. It matches the Rfam family "tRNA", at positions 5 to 66 of the family's 71-position model. From Rfam's summary of the family: Transfer RNA (tRNA) molecules are approximately 80 nucleotides in length. Their secondary structure includes four short double-helical elements and three loops (D, anti-codon, and T loops). Further hydrogen bonds mediate the characteristic L-shaped molecular structure. tRNAs have two regions of fundamental functional importance: the anti-codon, which is responsible for specific mRNA codon recognition, and the 3' end, to which the tRNAs corresponding amino acid is attached (by aminoacyl-tRNA synthetases). tRNAs cope with the degeneracy of the genetic code in two manners: having more than one tRNA (with a specific anti-codon) for a particular amino acid; and 'wobble' base-pairing, i.e. permitting non-standard base-pairing at the 3rd anti-codon position. The record is from RNAcentral.
UCUAUAGCUCAGUUGGUAGAGCAACGGACUCUUAAUCCGUGGGUCGUGGGUUCGAGUCCCUCUGG